RNAcentral lists this ribosomal RNA (118 nucleotides) under Sinocyclocheilus rhinocerous. The record is from RNAcentral. Lineage: Eukaryota; Metazoa; Chordata; Actinopteri; Cypriniformes; Cyprinidae.
GCUUACGGCCAUUCCACCCUGUCUGCGUCCGAUCUUUUCUGAUUUCGGAUGCUAAGCAGUGUUGGCCUGGUUAAUACUUGGAUGGGAGACCGCCUGGGAAUACCAGGUGCUGUAAGCU